RNAcentral lists this ribosomal RNA (460 nucleotides) under uncultured bacterium. Its description in RNAcentral is "bacterial SSU rRNA". It matches the Rfam family "Bacterial small subunit ribosomal RNA", at positions 29 to 506 of the family's 1533-position model. The record is from RNAcentral.
ACGAACGCUGGCGGCGUGCUUAACACAUGCAAGUCGAGCGGUAAGGCCUUUCGGGGUACACGAGCGGCGAACGGGUGAGUAACACGUGGGUGAUCUGCCCUGCACUUCGGGAUAAGCCUGGGAAACUGGGUCUAAUACCGGAUAUGACCUCCUAUCGCAUGGUGGGUGGUGGAAAGAUUUAUCGGUGCAGGAUGGGCCCGCGGCCUAUCAGCUUGUUGGUGGGGUAAUGGCCUACCAAGGCGACGACGGGUAGCCGACCUGAGAGGGUGACCGGCCACACUGGGACUGAGACACGGCCCAGACUCCUACGGGAGGCAGCAGUGGGGAAUAUUGCACAAUGGGCGAAAGCCUGAUGCAGCGACGCCGCGUGAGGGAUGACGGCCUUCGGGUUGUAAACCUCUUUCAGCAGGGACGAAGCGCAAGUGACGGUAGCUGCAGAAGAAGCACCGGCUAACUACGU